CCAAUAGCGUAUAUUAAAGUUGUCGCAGUUAAAAAGCUCGUAGUUGAAUUUCAGGCCUGGCUGGACGGUCCGCCUUUUGGGUGAGUACUGUCUGUGGUCGGGUCCUACCUUCUGGCGAAGCGUCAUGGCCUUAACCGGCCGUGGCGGGGAACCAGGACUUUUACUGUGAAAAAAUUAGAGUGUUCAAAGCAGGCAGUCGCUUGGAUACAUUAGCAUGGAAUAAUGGAAUAGGGCAAUGGUUCUAUUUGUUGGUUUCUAGGACCGUUGUAAUGAUUAAUAGGGAUAGUUGGGGGCAUUAGUAUUCAAUUGUCAGAGGUGAAAUUCUUGGAUUUAUUGAAGACUAACUACUGCGAAAGCAUUUGCAAAGGAUGUUUUCAUUAAUCAAGAACGAAAGUUAGGGGAUCGAAGACGAUCAGAUACCGUCGUAGUCUUAACCAUAAACUAUGCCGACUAGGAAUCGGGCGAUGUUGACAAAAUGACGCGCUCGGCACCUCAUG
This 497-nucleotide ribosomal RNA is filed under the name uncultured Glomeromycotina. RNAcentral describes it as "partial small subunit ribosomal RNA". It matches the Rfam family "Eukaryotic small subunit ribosomal RNA", at positions 591 to 1092 of the family's 1831-position model. Lineage: Eukaryota; Fungi; Glomeromycota. The record is from RNAcentral.